This 281-nucleotide ribosomal RNA is filed under the name Thyrinula uruguayensis. RNAcentral's name for it is "partial 18S ribosomal RNA". The record is from RNAcentral. Lineage: Eukaryota; Fungi; Ascomycota; Dothideomycetes; Asterinales; Asterinaceae.
GGCCCGGGCAACAUCGUCAAACUGCGGGAAAGCCCUGCCACGACUACCGGGACCCCACCGCCCCAGCAAUGGGAGCGGGUGCCUGCGGCUAACGGCUGCGGGUACGGUAAAGCACCGAAGUCUAGGGGCAAUCCGCCGCCAAACCCUCCCCGCUCCGGGAGGGCCCAGCUCACAGGCCAGACGGCGAUGGGCGCAGUCGCGCUUAAGAUAUGGUCGAGUGAUCCGUCGAGAGGCGGGUGCAACUCUGGAACGUCCGUAGGUGAACCUGCGGAAGGAUCAUU